RNAcentral lists this transfer RNA (77 nucleotides) under Thiothrix sp. Its description in RNAcentral is "tRNA-Arg". It matches the Rfam family "tRNA". Rfam says of the family: Transfer RNA (tRNA) molecules are approximately 80 nucleotides in length. Their secondary structure includes four short double-helical elements and three loops (D, anti-codon, and T loops). Further hydrogen bonds mediate the characteristic L-shaped molecular structure. tRNAs have two regions of fundamental functional importance: the anti-codon, which is responsible for specific mRNA codon recognition, and the 3' end, to which the tRNAs corresponding amino acid is attached (by aminoacyl-tRNA synthetases). tRNAs cope with the degeneracy of the genetic code in two manners: having more than one tRNA (with a specific anti-codon) for a particular amino acid; and 'wobble' base-pairing, i.e. permitting non-standard base-pairing at the 3rd anti-codon position. The record is from RNAcentral. Lineage: Bacteria; Pseudomonadati; Pseudomonadota; Gammaproteobacteria; Thiotrichales; Thiotrichaceae.
CCGCCCGUAGCUCAGCUGGAUAGAGCGGUCCCCUCCUAAGGGACAGGCCAGAGGUUCGAAUCCUCUCGGGCGGACCA